RNAcentral lists this ribosomal RNA (274 nucleotides) under uncultured bacterium. RNAcentral's name for it is "partial small subunit ribosomal RNA". It matches the Rfam family "Bacterial small subunit ribosomal RNA", at positions 26 to 287 of the family's 1533-position model. The record is from RNAcentral.
AGGACGAACGCUGGCGGCGUGCUUAACACAUGCAAGUCGAGGGCACUUUGGGGGCAACUCUGGAGUGACCGGCGAACGGGUGCGUAACACGUGAGCGACCUUGCCUCGUGGUGGGGGAUAGCUGGCCCAACGGCCGGGUAAUACCGCAUAGGGUGGUCUUUUCGCAUGGAGAGACUAGCAAAGCCCUGGAGCAAUCCAGUGGCGCCACGAGGGGGGGCUCGCGGCCUAUCAGCUAGUUGGGGGGUAAUGGCCCACCAAGGCGACGACGGGUAGC